GCUAGCGCGGGGCCGGCGGCGGGGGUAAUACGGGGGGGGCUGGGGUGGUUCGGAAUUACCGGGCGUAAAGCGCACGUAGGCGGACCAGAAAGUUGGGGGGGAAAUCCCGGGGCUCAACCCCGGAACUGCCUUCAAAACUCCUGGUCUUGAGGUCGAGAGAGGUGAGUGGAAUUCCGAGUGUAGAGGUGAAAUUCGUAGAUAUUCGGAGGAACACCAGUGGCGAAGGCGGCUCACUGGCUCGAUACUGACGCUGAGGUGCGAAAGCGUGGGGAGCAAACAGGAUUAGAUACCCCUGUAGUC
This 300-nucleotide ribosomal RNA is filed under the name uncultured Thermonema sp. Its description in RNAcentral is "partial 16S ribosomal RNA". It matches the Rfam family "Bacterial small subunit ribosomal RNA", at positions 496 to 795 of the family's 1533-position model. Lineage: Bacteria; Pseudomonadati; Bacteroidota; Cytophagia; Cytophagales; Thermonemataceae. The record is from RNAcentral.